UCCGUAGGGUGCAAGCGUUGUCCGGAAUUAUUGGGCGUAAAGAGCUCGUAGGCGGUUUGUCGCGUCUGCUGUUAAAACCCGAGGCUCAACCUCGGGCCUGCAGUGGGUACGGGCAGACUAGAGUGCGGUAGGGGAGAUUGGAAUUCCUGGUGUAGCGGUGGAAUGCGCAGAUAUCAGGAGGAACACCAAUGGCGAAGGCAGAUCUCUGGGCCGUAACUGACGCUGAGGAGCGAAAGCAUGGGGAGCGAACAGG
Molecule: ribosomal RNA, 253 nt
Filed under: uncultured bacterium
Lineage: Bacteria
Description: partial 16S ribosomal RNA
Rfam family: Bacterial small subunit ribosomal RNA
Source: RNAcentral